Chiloscyllium plagiosum (whitespotted bambooshark) is the source of this 125-nucleotide non-coding RNA. NCBI's taxonomy places the organism in Eukaryota, Metazoa, Chordata, Chondrichthyes, Orectolobiformes, Hemiscylliidae. The record is from RefSeq and is a predicted model, not a curated record.
UCCCUGGGGGUGGCUGUGUCUCCUCUCCGUGUCCCUGGGGGUGGCUCUGUCUCCUCUCCGUGUCCCUGGGGGUGGCUCUGUGUCCUCUCCGUGUCCCUGGGGGUGGCUCUGUCUCCUCUCCCUGU